UAUGACUGUAUUGGAGAGGAGCCACUCUCAGUCCUUACAGAUGCUUGGAGGGACUCACCACUAUGCUGUGAUUACAGUAGACGAAAGCACGGCAGUCAUCAUUCAAGAGCAGGAGGAGCUGUGUCAGGAGCGGGCCUGUGAGAGUCUAGUGAUUCGACUGACUGCUCUGUCUCUGCAGUACAGCUGCUGCUGGCUCAUCCUUCACUGCCAGCAGGACUCUGGGUUAGUACUCAACACCAACGCGCGCACAUUUCCCACAGAUUACAUUUUUGAAUUGUCUUUGUGGUCGUCUCUGUGGGUGUAGGUUGACCAGCGAGGGCUUCAACAACCUGGUGUUGGUUUACUCCGCUCUGGUGCUGUUUGGCCUCAAGACUGAGGACCUGGAUGUCAAGGUGCUGAUUGUAUCAGAAGUGGUGGACAUUGCCAAAUGGAUCUGCCAGAUAGCCUUCCAUACACUGCUGUCCAGUGACAGAGAUCCUCUCAGCUACCUGGACAGAGAAUGGCUUUCUGUGAUUUCC
Salvelinus namaycush (lake trout) is the source of this 518-nucleotide long non-coding RNA. RefSeq lists it as uncharacterized. NCBI's taxonomy places the organism in Eukaryota, Metazoa, Chordata, Actinopteri, Salmoniformes, Salmonidae. The record is from RefSeq and is a predicted model, not a curated record. The transcript has 3 exons.